GUGCUUGCUUCAUCAGCACAUAUACUAAAACUGGAACGAUACAGAGAUUACUAGCAUGGCCCCUGCUCAAGGAUGACACGCACAUCUAUGAAGCGUUUCAUAUCUUU
Molecule: small nuclear RNA, 107 nt
Organism: Bison bison bison
Lineage: Eukaryota; Metazoa; Chordata; Mammalia; Artiodactyla; Bovidae
Source: Ensembl